CCUACGGGUGGCUGCAGUGGGGAAUAUUGCACAAUGGGCGCAAGCCUGAUCCAGCCAUGCCGCGUGUGUGAAGAAGGCCUUCGGGUUGUAAAGCACUUUCAGUGGGGAAGAAGGCCUUGGGGCUAAUACCCUCGAGGAAGGACAUCACCCACAGAAGAAGCACCGGCUAACUCCGUGCCAGCAGCCGCGGUAAUACGGAGGGUGCGAGCGUUAAUCGGAAUUACUGGGCGUAAAGCGCACGUAGGCGGUCUGAUAAGCUGGUUGUGAAAGCCCCGGGCUCAACCUGGGAACGGCAUCCGGAACUGUCAGGCUAGAGUGCAGUAGAGGAAGGUAGAAUUCCCGGUGUAGCGGUGAAAUGCGGAGAGAUCGGGAGGAAUACCAGUGGCGAAGGCGGCCUUCUGGACUGAGACUGACGCUGAGGUGCGAAAGCGUGGGUAGCAAACAGGAUUAGAUACCCGAGUAGUC
RNAcentral lists this ribosomal RNA (465 nucleotides) under Vreelandella stevensii. Its description in RNAcentral is "partial 16S ribosomal RNA". It matches the Rfam family "Bacterial small subunit ribosomal RNA", at positions 338 to 795 of the family's 1533-position model. Lineage: Bacteria; Pseudomonadati; Pseudomonadota; Gammaproteobacteria; Oceanospirillales; Halomonadaceae. The record is from RNAcentral.